This 253-nucleotide ribosomal RNA is filed under the name uncultured bacterium. Its description in RNAcentral is "partial 16S ribosomal RNA". It matches the Rfam family "Bacterial small subunit ribosomal RNA", at positions 524 to 776 of the family's 1533-position model. The record is from RNAcentral.
UACGUAGGGUGCAGGCGUUAAUCGGAAUUACUGGGCGUAAAGCGUGCGCAGGCGGUUUGCUAAGACAGGUGUGAAAUCCCCGGGCUUAACCUGGGAACUGCGCUUGUAACUGGCAAGCUGGAGUGUGGCAGAGGGGGGUGGAAUUCCACGUGUAGCAGUGAAAUGCGUAGAGAUGUGGAGGAACACCGAUGGCGAAGGCAGCCCCCUGGGCUAACACUGACGCUCAUGUGCGAAAGCCAGGGGAGCGAACGGG